This 488-nucleotide ribosomal RNA is filed under the name uncultured bacterium. Its description in RNAcentral is "partial 16S ribosomal RNA". It matches the Rfam family "Bacterial small subunit ribosomal RNA", at positions 28 to 507 of the family's 1533-position model. The record is from RNAcentral.
GACGAACGCUGGCGGCGUGCUUAACACAUGCAAGUCGAACGGAAAGGCCCUGCUUUUGUGGGGUGCUCGAGUGGCGAACGGGUGAGUAACACGUGAGUAACCUGCCCUUGACUUUGGGAUAACUUCAGGAAACUGGGGCUAAUACCGGAUAGGAGCUCCUGCUGCAUGGUGGGGGUUGGAAAGUUUCGGCGGUUGGGGAUGGACUCGCGGCUUAUCAGCUUGUUGGUAAGGUAGUGGCUUACCAAGGCUUUGACGGGUAGCCGGCCUGAGAGGGUGACCGGCCAGACGAGAACGGAGACGAGGGCCAGAGGACUACGGGAGGCAGAAGUAGGGAAGCGGCAGCAAUGGGCGGAAGCAUGACGGAGACACGCCGAGUGAGGGACGAAGGUCUGCGGAUCGUAAAACGGGGUUAUUAGGGAAGAACAUAUGUGUAAGGAACUGUGCACAGCUGGAAGGGACGUAAUCAGAAAGGCACGGCGAACUAUGUG